GAUGAACGCUGGCGGUAUGCUUAACACAUGCAAGUCGAACGGACUCUUCGGAGUUAGUGGCGGGCGGGUGAGUAACGCGUGAGAAUCUGGCUUUGGGUUCGGGACAACCACUGGAAACGGUGGCUAAUACCGGAUGUGCCGAGAGGUAAAAGAGAAAUUGCCUGAAGAUGAGCUCGCGUCUGAUUAGCUAGUUGGUGAGGUAAAGGCUCACCAAGGCAGCGAUCAGUAGCUGGUCUGAGAGGAUGACCAGCCACACUGGGACUGAGACACGGCCCAGACUCCUACGGGAGGCAGCAGUGGGGAAUUGUCCGCAAUGGGCGAAAGCCUGACGGAGCAAUACCGCGUGAGGGAAGAAGGCUCUUGGGUUGUAAACCUCUUUUCUUAGGGAAGAACAAAAUGACGGUACCUAAGGAAUCAGCAUCGGCUAACUCCGUG
RNAcentral lists this ribosomal RNA (435 nucleotides) under uncultured bacterium. Its description in RNAcentral is "partial 16S ribosomal RNA". It matches the Rfam family "Bacterial small subunit ribosomal RNA", at positions 28 to 507 of the family's 1533-position model. The record is from RNAcentral.